Molecule: ribosomal RNA, 310 nt
Filed under: uncultured eukaryote
Lineage: Eukaryota
Description: partial large subunit ribosomal RNA
Rfam family: Eukaryotic large subunit ribosomal RNA
Source: RNAcentral
AUAUUACUCAGCGGAGGAAAAGAAACUAACUAAGAUUGCCCCAGUAACUGCGAGUGAAGAGGCAAGAGCUCAACCUUAAAAUCGCUUAGCCCUGGUUAAGCGAAUUGUAAGCUCAGGGGCCGGACUUAGGUUGGACCGACGCAUAAGUGCCCAGGAUUGGGCUGCCAGAGAGGGUGAAAGCCCCGUACAUGGCGUCAGUCUGGCUGAGGGAAAGCUUCUCAGAGUCGGGUUGUUUGGUAAUGCAGCCCUAAUCGGGAGAUAAACAUCUUCCAAAGCUAAAUAUGAAUGGGAGACCGAUAGCGCACAAGUA